AGCGAACGCUGGCGGCAGGCUUAACACAUGCAAGUCGAGCGGGCACUUCGGUGUCAGCGGCAGACGGGUGAGUAGCACGUGGGAACGUACCCUUCGGUUCGGAAUAACGCUGGAAAACUAGCGCUAAUACCGGAUACGCCCUUUUGGGGAAAGGUUUACUGCCGAAGGAUCGGCCCGCGUCUGAUUAGCUAGUUGGUGGGGUAAUGGCCUACCAAGGCGACGAUCAGUAGCUGGUCUGAGAGGAUGAUCAGCCACACUGGGACUGAGACACGGCCCAGACUCCUACGGGAGGCAGCAGUGGGGAAUAUUGGACAAUGGGCGCAAGCCUGAUCCAGCCAUGCCGCGUGAGUGAUGAAGGCCUUAGGGUUGUAAAGCUCUUUUGUCCGGGACGAUAAUGACGGUACCGGAAGAAUAAGCCCCGGCUAACUUCGUG
This 433-nucleotide ribosomal RNA is filed under the name uncultured bacterium. RNAcentral's name for it is "partial 16S ribosomal RNA". It matches the Rfam family "Bacterial small subunit ribosomal RNA", at positions 29 to 507 of the family's 1533-position model. The record is from RNAcentral.